Molecule: RNA transcript, 9577 nt
Organism: Calypte anna (Anna's hummingbird)
Lineage: Eukaryota; Metazoa; Chordata; Aves; Apodiformes; Trochilidae
Gene: FLNB
Gene name: filamin B
Exons: 47
Source: RefSeq, a predicted model, not a curated record
AAAGCAGGAGGCGGAGCGGGGCCUGGCCAUGAGCACGCAGGCGCGGAGCCAGGGCGGGCGCAGAGCGGCGGAUCCCGACGGCGAGAUGCCGGCCACCGAGAAGGACCUGGCGGAGGACGCGCCCUGGAAGCGGAUCCAGCAGAACACCUUCACCCGCUGGUGCAACGAGCACCUGCGCUGCGUCAACAAGCGCAUCGGUAACCUGCAGCACGACCUGAGCGAUGGGCUGCGCCUCAUCGCCCUCCUGGAGGUGCUCAGCCAGAAGCGAAUGUACCGCAAGUACCACCAGCGGCCCACCUUCCGCCAGAUGCAGCUGGAGAACGUCUCGGUGGCCCUCGAGUUCCUGGAGCGGGAGAGCAUCAAGCUGGUCUCCAUCGAUAGUAAAGCCAUAGUUGAUGGAAACUUGAAGUUGAUCCUUGGCCUGAUAUGGACCCUUAUCCUCCACUACUCCAUUUCCAUGCCAGUGUGGGAGGAUGAAGGUGAUGAUGAUGCAAAGAAGCAGACGCCCAAGCAGAGGCUGCUGGGCUGGAUCCAGAACAAAAUUCCUUACUUGCCAAUCACAAACUUCAAUCAAAACUGGCAGGAUGGCAAAGCACUGGGGGCUCUUGUUGACAGCUGUGCUCCAGGCCUGUGCCCUGACUGGGAGACCUGGGACCCGAAGAAACCCGUUGACAACGCUCGGGAAGCCAUGCAGCAGGCGGACGACUGGCUGGGUGUGCCACAGGUUAUUACCCCUGAAGAAAUUAUCCACCCUGAUGUGGAUGAGCACUCUGUAAUGACUUACCUGUCCCAGUUCCCCAAAGCCAAGCUGAAACCAGGAGCUCCUUUAAAACCCAAACUGAAUCCAAAGAAAGCACGAGCUUAUGGCAGAGGCAUUGAGCCUCAUGGGAACAUGGUGAAGCAGCCUGCCAUCUUCACAGUAGACACCAUCAGUGCUGGUCAGGGAGACCUGAUGGUCUUCAUAGAGGAUCCAGAAGGAAACAGAGAGGAGGCAAAGAUAACUCCAUCCAGUGACAAAAAUAAGACUUAUUCAGUUCAGUAUGUGCCAAGAGUUACUGGACCUCACAAGGUCUCAGUCCUGUUUGCUGGGCAGCACAUCUCAAAAAGCCCAUUUGAAGUGAAUGUUGACAAAGCCCAGGGAGAUGCGAGCAAAGUAACAGCAAAGGGACCAGGACUGGAGGCAACAGGGAACAUUGCCAACAAGCCUACUUACUUUGACCUCUACACAGCAGGUGCUGGUGUAGGUGACGUGAUUGUGGAAGUGGAGGAUCCUCAGGGGAGAAACCUUGCUGAAGUUGUGGUAGAAGACAAAGGCAACCAAGUCUACCGUUGCACUUACAAACCUGUUCAAGCUGGUCCUCACAUUGUCAAAGUGACUUUUGCUGGGGAGGCAAUUCCCAAAACUCCUUGCACUGUUCUUGUUGGAGAAGCCUGCAAUCCCAACGCGUGUCGUGCCACAGGGAGAGGUCUGCAGCCCAAAGGUGUCCGCAUGAGGGAAACAGCUGACUUCAAGGUUGAUACAAGAGCAGCAGGGAGUGGAGACCUUGGUGUGACUAUAAAGGGACCGAAGGGCUUGGAGGAGCUGGUGAAACAAAAAGGCUUUAUGGAUGGUAUAUAUGCAUUUGAAUAUUAUCCAGCUACCCCAGGGAAGUAUGUUGUCACAAUUACAUGGGGUGGGCACAACAUCCCAAAAAGCCCUUUUGAAGUUCAGGUGGGUCAUGAAGCAGGUCCUCAGAAAGUACGAGCCUGGGGGCCAGGACUGCAUGAGGGGAUUGUGGGUAAAUCUGCUGACUUCGUGGUAGAGUCCAUUGGCACAGAAGUUGGCUCUCUUGGCUUUGCAAUAGAAGGCCCUUCUCAGGCUAAAAUUGAGUGUGAUGACAAGAAUGAUGGCUCAUGUGAUGUGAAGUAUUGGCCCAAAGAGCCUGGUGAAUAUGCUGUGCAUAUCAUGUGUGAUGAUGAGGACAUAAAAGACAGCCCCUACAUGGCCUUCAUCCGACCGGCUUCAGGAGACUUCAACCCGGAUAAGGUGAAGGCUUAUGGCCCAGGCUUGGAGAAGACUGGCUGUAUAGUGAAUAAUCCUGCUGAGUUCACAGUUGAAACCAAGGACGCUGGGAAAGCACCUCUGAAGAUGUAUGCACAGGAUGGAGAAGGAAACCCUUUUGAUAUCCAGAUAAAAAGCAAGCCUGAUGGUGUAUUUGCCUGUUCCUAUGUGCCAGUUAAACCAAUUAAGCAUACAAUUUCUGUUGUCUGGGGAGGAGCCAACGUGCCCAAUAGCCCAUUUAGGGUCCUUAUAGGUCAAGGAAGUCAUCCUCAGAAAGUGAAAGUGUUUGGACCUGGUGUGGAGAGAACGGGUCUGAAAGCCAGUGAGCCGACCCACUUCACUGUUGACUGCACAGAUGCAGGAGAAGGUGAUGUCAGUGUUGGAAUUAAGUGUGAUGCUCGUGUGGUCAGUGAUGAGGAAGAGGACAUAGAUUUUGACAUCAUCCACAAUGCUAAUGAUACAUUCACGGUGAAGUAUGCCCCACCUGCUGCUGGGCGCUACACCAUUAAAGUGCUUUUUGCAGGAGAGGAAAUUCCUGCCAGUCCAUUCAGAGUUAAAGUGGACCCCUCACACGAUGCCAGCAAAGUGAAAGCUGAAGGACCUGGGCUGAACAAAACUGGCGUGGAAAAUGGCAAGCCAACACACUUCACUGUGUUCACCAAGGGAGCUGGAAAAGCACCCCUGGAUGUGCAGUUCAGCAGCCCAGUGCCAGGAGAGGCGGUGGUAGAUGUGGAUAUCAUUGACAACUAUGACUAUUCCCACACCGUUAGGUACACUCCAAUACAGCAGGGUCCAAUGAAGAUUUUGGUAACUUAUGGUGGUGAUCCUAUCCCUAAAAGCCCUUUCACUGUGGGUGUUGCUGCUCCACUGGACCUCAGCAAAGUUAAAGUCAAUGGACUUGAAAACAGAGUGGAAGUAGGGAAGGAUCAGGAAUUUGUAAUUGACACCAAAGGAGCUGGUGGGCAAGGUAAACUGGAUGUUCGUAUUUCCAGUCCAAUGAGGAAAGCUGUGCCCUGUCUGGUGGAACCUGUUCUGGGUAAGGAGUGCAGCACUGCAAAAUAUAUCCCAAGGGAAGAAGGAUUGUAUGUGGUGGAUGUGAGUUAUGAUGGCAACCCAAUCCCAGGCAGCCCCUACACUGUGGAGGCCACACUACCUCCAGACCCCUCCAAGGUAAAAGCUCAUGGUCCAGGUCUCCGAGGGGGACUCGUUGGAAAACCAGCCCAGUUCACAAUAGAUACCAAAGGAGCAGGAACUGGAGGUUUGGGUUUGACAGUAGAAGGCCCAUGUGAAGCUAAAAUUGAAUGCUCAGACAAUGGCGAUGGAACCUGCUCUGUCUCCUACCUGCCUACAAAGCCUGGAGAGUAUUUUGUAAACAUCCUCUUUGAAGAAGUUCAUAUUCCUGGUUCACCAUUUAAGGCAGACAUAGAAAUGCCAUUUGAUGUCUCUAAAGUCAUUGCCACGGGCCCGGGUCUGGAAUGUGGUAAAGUGGGUGAGGCAGGGCUGCUGAACGUCGACUGCACAGAAGCAGGUCCUGGGGACCUGCGGGUGGACAUGGUGUCAGAUUCUGGUUCCAAAGCUGAAAUUCAGAUCGAUGAUAACAAAGACGGGACCUACGUUGUAACAUAUAUACCACUCUCAGCUGGCAUGUACACAAUCAAGAUGAGAUAUGGAGGAGAGCAAGUGCCUAAAUUCCCAGCCCGUGUCAAAGUGGAGCCAGCUGUGGACACAAGCAGAGUUAAAGUCUUUGGUCCAGGAGUGGAAGGGAAAGAUGUCUUCCGAGAAGCUACAACUGAGUUCACUGUGGAUGCUCGACCUCUAACAAAGUCUGGUGGUGACCACAUCAGGACACAGAUCACGAGCCCAUCUGGCUCCCCUGCAGACUGUCUCAUCCAGGACAAUGCUGAUGGAACCUAUUUAGUAGAGUACACGCCUUUUGAAAAGGGUCCACACACAGUCAGUGUAACAUAUGAUGGGGUGCCUGUGCCAAACAGUCCCUUCAGAGUGAACGUGACAGAAGGCUGCCAUCCAUCACGUGUGAAGGCACAAGGGCCUGGCCUUAAAGAAGCUUUCACAAAUCAGCCAAAUGCCUUUUCAGUUGUCACCAGAGGAGCAGGAAUUGGUGGCCUUGGGAUAACUGUUGAAGGACCUUCAGAGUCUAAAAUUAGCUGUAAAGAUAACAAGGAUGGGAGUUGCAGUGCAGAGUAUGUUCCUUAUGUUCCAGGAGAGUACGAUGUGAACAUCACGUAUGGGGGAGAGCAUAUUCCUGGCAGUCCUUUCAAGGUUCCUGUGAAGGAUGUUGUGGAUCCCAGCAAGGUGAAGACAGCAGGACCAGGUCUAGGAACAGCUGUUCGAGCCAAAAUCCCACAGUCCUUCACUGUAGACACCAGCAAGGCAGGAUUAGCACCCCUGGAGGUGGUGGUGGCAGGACCCAGAGUGGAUGAGACGGAUUCCCAGGGAUGGCGCUCCCCAUUGAAAGCGAUUUCAGAUUUCUUUAAUGGUGGCCCUGAGACAGGAAUUGUGGAGCCUGUUAAUAUAGUAGACAAUGGAGAUGGCACCCACACUGUGGUGUACACCCCAACGCAGGAGGGACCCUAUAUGAUCACUGUCAAGUAUGCUGAUGAAGAGAUUCCUCGUAGUCCUUUCAAGGUGAAGGUGCUUCCUACAUAUGAUGCCAGUAAAGUGACGGCAAGCGGACCAGGGCUCAGUUCCUAUGGCAUACCUGCCAGCCUGCCUGUGGAGUUUGCUGUGGAUGCUAAGGAUGCUGGGCAGGGACUUCUGGCUGUACAGAUCACUGACCAAGAGGGCAAACCCAAGAGAGUGGACAUACAUGACAACAAGGAUGGCACUUACACAGUCACCUAUGUCCCUGACAAAACGGGCCGCUAUACGAUUGGCGUGAAGUACGGUGGAGAUGAUAUCCCCUCCUCUCCCUAUCGGAUCCGGGCAUCUCCAGCUGGGGAUGCCAGCAAGUGUUUGGCCACAGGUCCUGGAAUUGCACCCACUGUGAAGACUGGUGAGGAGGUUGGUUUUGUGGUAGACGCCAAAUCAGCAGGGAAGGGAAAAGUGACGUGCACCGUCCUGACACCAGAUGGGACAGAAGCUGAAGCAGAUGUUGUUGAAAAUGAGGAUGGGACUUAUGAUAUCUUCUACACUGCUGCCAAACCAGGAACCUAUGUGAUUUAUGUCCGCUUCGGUGGGGUGGACAUUCCCAACAGUCCUUUCACCGUCAUGGCUGUAGAUGCAGAUGAUGCUGCCGUGCGGUCGCAGGAGCCACUGGGUGCCUCUCCCCCUGGAUUCCGCCCUUGGGUGACCGAAGAAGCUUAUGUCCCGGUUGGAGACAUGAACGGCAUGGGAUUCAGGCCCUUUGAUAUGGUGAUCCCCUUUGCUGUAAGGAAAGGAGAAAUAACAGGUGAAGUACACAUGCCCUCUGGGAAGACGGAUACGCCAGAUAUUGUGGAUAACAAAGAUGGCACAGUAACAGUGAGAUACGCUCCCACUGAGGUUGGGUUGCAUGAAAUGCACAUAAAAUACAUGGGAAAGCACAUCCCAGAGAGCCCUCUGCAGUUCUAUGUGAAUUAUCCAAACAGUGGCAGUGUGUCUGCUUAUGGGCCUGGCCUCAUUUAUGGGGUUGCCAAUAAACCAGCAACUUUCACCAUUGUUACAGAAGAUGCAGGCGAGGGUGGGCUGGACUUGGCUAUUGAAGGACCUUCAAAAGCAGAGAUCAGCUGCAUUGAUAACAAAGAUGGGACCUGCACAGUAACAUACCUGCCUACUCUGCCUGGGAACUACAGCAUCCUAGUCAAGUACAAUGACAAGCACAUCCCAGGCAGUCCAUUCACAGCCAAGAUCACAGAUGAUAACCGGAGGCGGUCCCAUGUUAAGCUGGGUUCAGCUGCUGACUUUUUGCUGGACAUCAAUGAGACUGAUCUCAGCCUCCUAACAGCCAGCAUUAAAGCCCCAUCGGGUCGUGAUGAACCUUGUCUUCUGAAGAGGCUACCCAACAACCACAUUGGCAUCUCAUUCAUUCCACGGGAAGUAGGAGAACAUCUGGUUAGCAUCAAGAAAAAUGGAAGCCAUGUACCAAACAGCCCUGUAACAAUCAUGGUGGUCCAGUCUGAGAUAGGAGAUGCCAGACGAGCAAGAGUUUUUGGACGUGGCUUGGUAGAAGGGCGAACUUUUGAAAUGUGUGACUUCAUUGUAGACACAAGAGAUGCAGGUUAUGGUGGGAUCUCACUGGCAGUUGAAGGACCCAGCAAGGUAGACAUCCAAACUGAAGACCUAGAAGAUGGAACUUGCAAAGUGUCCUAUUUUCCAACUGUACCUGGUGUGUACAUUGUGUCCACUAAAUUUGCAGAUGAACAUAUUCCAGGCAGCCCAUUUACUGUGAAGAUAAGUGGUGAAGGAAGAGUUAGGGAGAGCAUCACACGAACAAGACGAGCUCCUUCUGUUGCAACAGUAGGAAGCAUAUGUGAUCUGAAUCUAAAAAUUCCAGAAAUUGACUGUGGGGAUAUGACAGCCCAGGUAACUAGUCCCUCUGGAAGAAAUUCUGACGCCGAAAUCGUAGAAGCUGACAAAAAUACCUAUUGCGUCCGCUUUGUGCCACAAGAAAUGGGGGUCCACACUGUGGAUGUCAAAUACAGAGGGCAGCCAGUGCCAGGCAGCCCAUUCCAGUUCACUGUGGGGCCACUGGGUGAGGGAGGAGCCCACAAAGUGAGAGCUGGAGGCCCAGGACUGGAGCGUGGAGAGACAGGUGUCCCAGCUGAGUUCAGCAUAUGGACACGGGAAGCUGGAGCUGGAGGACUGUCUAUUGCUGUAGAAGGCCCAAGUAAAGCAGAAAUUGCCUUUGAGGAUCAUAAAGAUGGAUCCUGUGGUGUGUCAUACAUAGUUCAAGAGCCAGGCAACUAUGAGGUGUCCAUAAAGUUCAAUGAUGAGCACAUUCCUGAAAGCCCCUACCUGGUUCCCAUCAUCGCCCCCUCCGAUGAUGCUCGCAGGCUCACUGUCACUAGUCUUCAGGAGUCUGGAUUAAAAGCUAAUCAGCCAGCAUCCUUUGCUAUAAGGCUGAACGGGGCAAAGGGCAAGAUUGAUGCUAAAGUCCACAGCCCUUCUGGAGCUGUAGAAGAGUGCCACGUGUCUGAGCUGGAGCCAGACAAGUAUGCCGUGCGGUUCAUCCCCCACGAGAACGGCAUCCACUCCAUUGAUGUGAAGUUCAACGGGAGCCACGUGGUGGGCAGCCCCUUCAAAGUGCGAGUGGGCGAGCCGGGGCAGGCGGGGAAUCCUGCCCUUGUCACCGCCUACGGCUCCGGCCUGGAGAGCGGUACCACCGGGUUGCAGUCGGAGUUUUCAUUAACACGACCAAGGCUGUCCAGGUACCCUCUCUGUUACAAUUGAAGGGCCAUCAAAGGUGAAAAUGGACUGCCAGGAAACUCCAGAAGGUUACAAAGUCAUGUACACACCCAUGGCUCCAGGAAACUAUUUAAUUGGAGUUAAAUAUGGUGGACCUAACCACAUAGUGGGCAGCCCCUUCAAGGCAAAGGUUACAGGACAGCGACUGAUUAGCCCAGGAAGCGUCAACGAAACUUCUUCCAUCCUUGUCGAGUCAGUGACAAGGUCAUCGACUGAAACUUGCUAUAGUGCCAUUCCCAAAUCCACCUCGGAUGCUAGCAAAGUGGUUUCCCGGGGAGCAGGACUCUCAAGGCUUUUGUGGGUCAGAAAAGCUCCUUUCCGUGGAUGUGCAGAAAGCAGGUUCAAAUAUGUUGUUAGUUGGUGUCCAUGGACCUACAAUACCAUGCGAAGAGGUGUCCAUAAGCAAUUUGGGCAGCCAUCAGUACAACGUGACUUAUGUUGUCAAGGAAAGGGGUGAAUAUAUUCUGGCAGUGAAGUGGGGUGAUGAGCACAUCCCUGGGAGUCCCUUCCAUGUCACCGUUCCUUAAACUCAAUGAGCGUCAGGAGUCCAUCUUUGUGUUUCCAGUUCAGAUGUAGAGUUAUACUGGGUGCAGUCCUGUUGCAAAAUGCAGUAUCUAGAUACCACACAGCUCACAUUUCAAUACAGUCAGAACUAGACUCUGUAACUUUAUUUUUACAAGCAUUUCACUUCUACUUACCAACCAUAAUGUCAAUCUGUUUAACAUCCUCCUCAAAUUGUACCUUUGCAAUACUGUCCAGGUCACUGUUAAUGUUUGGAGAAUCAUGUGGAUAACUAGACACUAAUUUCCUGUGUGGAUGUUAAAGACUUUAGAUGUUAAUUGAAAACUGGAAUUUGUCUUCGUAAUUGGGUAUCUUAACUACUGAUUUUAUUUGACUGGAGACUUUACAUUUUAGUUAUGGAAUAUGACUUGGGCUGUCCCCAGUUCACAUUCUUUUCUGUAAAGAAAUGAGGUAAAACUGGUACUAUAAUGGGUGCCUUUGUAUACUUGAUCAAUUUUAGCGCUUAACAUUAUAAAAAGUUACUAAAGUGGCUUUACAACUCAAAUUUAAAAUGUUUCUGAAAAUGCUUUGCUAAUGGUUUACAUUUAGAAGUUUAUCUUUUAUAGCAAACCAAAAGCAGACUGAAAAUUACUUCCUGGAAGCUUUCAGCCUUUCUGUGUUAAUACUCUGUAAAUCUAGACAGGUAGCUUUUUGGCCAUUGAUGCUAGCAAUGCAGUUUUUAAUUAGCUUGGGACUCUGGUGAGUUUUUUGUAACUUUACAGGUAAUUCUCUACACUCUUUUUGAUAUAUUUUAAGAACAAACCCCCAGUUUGGCUGGGUUAAAUAAAGCCCCUAAACUUGCCAAGCCAGAUGUAGCUCUCACCCUGGUGAUCCAAAACAGAUGCAGGUCAGAGCACAGCGCAUGUUGGGAAGAUGUUCAGCAGUUUCCCUGGAGGCUGUGGGCCAGGCAAGUAGCCGAGAUGGUGCAGAGAAACCUGGGCAUGGGACCCCACAUUUGUAGUCAGAUUAUGGGGCAGGAGAGGUUGCGAAUUUACCCAUAAUAACAAUACCAAUCAACAAACCCAUCUUUGGUGCAUGUUGUUUAUUAUAUCUCAGUUCAAUAACAUGCCUGGAGCAUGCUCAUCUCUCCUAAAAUCCCCUUCGUGCUGCAAAAGGCAUUCCUGCUGAGGGCCAGGAGUGAAAAACUUCCAUUUUAACUUCUCUGUUUGUCCAGGAUUACACCAUGCUAAUUCCCAAGUGUGUAUCUGAAUUGCUGUCAGCUGCUGGGGCUUUAGUAAACUCUCCAAAUGAGCUUUAACUCUGCGAUUAGGAGAAGGUAGGAUUUGUUUAAAACUUGUUGAAAUGUCAUUGUCUGUCCCUAGGGGGAAGUUCACGCUUACGGUUCUGUAGUUACGUGUGGAUGCACUACUCUCUAGCACAGUCAUGGGGGAAAUAAAGGAAGGUUGGGUUUUUUUACUGUGCUGUUUUUGUGCCUUAAUGUGAAAUGCUCACAACAUUGUAAACUAGGAAGUAAAAACAAAAUAAACUGGAAUAAAAUGCAGGAUUGUAAUAUUGUAUCUUAUAACUUAUUAAAUAGAAAUGUUUGCUUCAUUAAAAUGUGCAUGUUCAAAA